AGCUUUGCACAGUGGCAGUAUUGUAGCCAAUGAGGUUUAUCCAAGGCGCGAUUAUUGCUAAUUGAAAAUGUGAUGUCUAUUUG
This 83-nucleotide small nuclear RNA is filed under the name Vulpes vulpes (red fox). Its description in RNAcentral is "U4 spliceosomal RNA (ENSVVUG00000005551.1)". The stretch from base 1 to 71 matches the Rfam family "U4 spliceosomal RNA". Rfam says of the family: U4 small nuclear RNA (U4 snRNA) is a component of the major U2-dependent spliceosome. The structure of U4 snRNA from yeast and human has been reported. The record is from RNAcentral. Lineage: Eukaryota; Metazoa; Chordata; Mammalia; Carnivora; Canidae.